UACGUAGGGACCAAGCGUUGUCCGGAAUCAUUGGGCGUAAAGAGCGUGUAGGCGGCUUGUUAAGUCUUGCGUGAAAUCUCGGGGCUCAACCCCGAGCGGUCGUGAGAAACUGGCAGGCUAGAGUGCGGGAGAGGAGAGUGGAAUUCCUGGUGUAGCGGUGAAAUGCGCAGAUAUCAGGAAGAACACCCGUGGCGAAGGCGGCUCUCUGGACCAUAACUGACGCUGAGAUACGAAAGCGUGGGUAGCAAACAGG
RNAcentral lists this ribosomal RNA (253 nucleotides) under uncultured bacterium. RNAcentral describes it as "partial 16S ribosomal RNA". It matches the Rfam family "Bacterial small subunit ribosomal RNA", at positions 524 to 776 of the family's 1533-position model. The record is from RNAcentral.